Molecule: long non-coding RNA, 745 nt
Organism: Meleagris gallopavo (turkey)
Lineage: Eukaryota; Metazoa; Chordata; Aves; Galliformes; Phasianidae
Source: RefSeq, a predicted model, not a curated record
AAAAAAAAAGGAAUUAUUUCUUUAGAGAGCUUGAGCUGAAAUAAACCAUUGUUCUUCCAUGUGCAAAGACAAAUUGCUGCUCCCAACCAGCUUCCAGCUGCUCCGAUGUGAAGGACAAAGCCUUGCUGAGAAGAGUGGAUGUUCUUUUAUUCAACCUUUGUGUUUAAUUCUGGAAAGCCUUAGCAUUGAGUAAUACAAAUUCAGAGCCACUGCCAGAUAAUUGUUGUGUAAAGAAACCCACAAGGCACGCUCACACACACUGCAGCGGCAGAUUUCAGAAGGCCUGUUAAAUUCAGCAGCCUCAAUUCUUCUACUUCACAUAUACAGAGUGUGUCAUUUUAUCCUUUGUCAUAAUACCACGUGUGUGGAGGGCUGCCAUCUAGUAGAACUUAAAACCAACGAGAAAACCUGGACUGACCUGCAGUUCUGCACUUUUGUUCUAUGAAAACAACCUAGCUGUUCAGCUUACUGCUGCUGAGCCAAGAGGGGAUAAUCUAAAUCACUGACACUCAGCUCUCGCUGAUGAUAAAAUACUGCUGACCAGCCUCUCUCAGUCCCAAUCUGAAGCAAUGAAAGCUACAGGGCAGAGAUUUAGGUGGGUCUCAUGGGACAGGGACACAGAAAACACAGGAAAGUUUCCUUAGGUGUCACAGCAACCAGACAUCAACAAAAUGAAAAGUCUAAAUGAAUCACCUGAUCACACCUUGUAUCAUUUUUCUUAGUAAUCAUUAAGCGUUCUCUUCAA